Long non-coding RNA from Bos taurus (domestic cattle), 806 nucleotides. Lineage: Eukaryota; Metazoa; Chordata; Mammalia; Artiodactyla; Bovidae. The record is from Ensembl.
GAUCUUUUCACUGUCUCCAUAGUUUUGCCUUUUCCAGAAUGUCAUGUAUAUGAAAUCAUCCAAUACAUAGUCUUUUCAGAUGGCUUCCUUUGCAUAGUAAUAUGAAUUUAAGUUUUCUCCAUGUCUUUUCAUGGCUGUUAAACCAUUACUUUUUAGUGCCAAGUAAUAUUUCAUGGUCUUUAUAUACCACAGUUUAUUCAUAAGCCUACUAAAGGAUAUUUUUGUUAUUUUCGAAAUUUGACAAUUAUGCUUCCCUAGUGGCUCAGAUGGUAAAGCGUCUGCCUGUGAUGCAGGAGACCUGGAUUCUAUCCCUGGGUCAGGAAGAUCCUCUGGAGAAGGAAAUGGCAAUUCACCCUGGUAUGCUUGUCUGGAAAAUUCCAUGGAUGGAGAAGCCUGGAGAUGCAGUAAUCCCUGGGUUGUGAAGAUGCCCUGGAGGAGGAAAUGGCAACCCUCUCCAGUAUUAUUGCCUGGGAAGUGCCAUGGACAGAGGAGCCUGGCGGGCUACAGUCCGUGGAUCGUGAAAGAGUCAGACACGACAGAGCACACAGCACAGAAAGCUGAGUGUUGAAGAAUUAAUGCUUUUGAACUGUGGUGUUGGAGAAGACUCUUGAGAGCCCCCUUGGACUACAAGGAGAUCCAACCAGUCAAUCCUAAGGAAUCAGUCCUGAAUAUUCAUUGGAAGGACUGAUGCUGAAGCUGAAACUCCAAUACUUUGGCCACUUGAUAUGAAGAACUGACUCAUUGGAAAAGACCCUGAUGCUGAGAAAGAUUGAAGGUGGGAGGAGAAGGGGAUGACAGAGGAUGAG